This 276-nucleotide long non-coding RNA is filed under the name Lathyrus oleraceus (garden pea). Its description in RNAcentral is "Pisum sativum (pea) long non-coding RNA (PSAT_LNC004031)". The record is from RNAcentral. Lineage: Eukaryota; Viridiplantae; Streptophyta; Magnoliopsida; Fabales; Fabaceae.
AACACUUAAUAGUGGUAUAGAAAAGAUUAUGAGAGAAAAACAUAUUAAAUCAUGUAUGGACCAUCUGAGUCUGAUAGUCGUACUCCUAACCAACAUGCUACUAUUAAUCAUGAUUAUAGUACUUCUGAAAAUAAUAACUAUACAUCUAGACAUCUAACUUUUAGUGGUGACUCAACAGAGUUCGAAUGGUGGAAGAGCAGGAUGUACACUCAUAUCAUAGGUCUUGAUGAUGAGUUGUGCGACAUUGUUGAAGAUGACAUUGAUAUUCUAGGUAAU